Molecule: ribosomal RNA, 497 nt
Filed under: uncultured bacterium
Lineage: Bacteria
Description: partial 16S ribosomal RNA
Rfam family: Bacterial small subunit ribosomal RNA
Source: RNAcentral
GAUGAACGCUGGCGGCGUGCCUAAUACAUGCAAGUCGAGCGAACGGACGAGAAGCUUGCUUCUCUGAUGUUAGCGGCGGACGGGUGAGUAACACGUGGAUAACCUACCUAUAAGACUGGGAUAACUUCGGGAAACCGUAGCUAAUACCGGAUAAUAUUUUGAACCGCAUGGUUCAAAAGUGAAAGACGGUCUUGCUGUCACUUAUAGAUGGAUCCGCGCUGCAUUAGCUAGUUGGUAAGGUAACGGCUUACCAAGGCAACGAUGCAUAGCCGACCUGAGAGGGUGAUCGGCCACACGGGAACUGAGACACGGUCCAGACUCCUACGGGAGGCAGCAGUAGGGAAUCUUCCGCAAUGGGCGAAAGCCUGACGGAGCAACGCCGCGUGAGUGAUGAAGGUCUUCGGAUCGUAAAACUCUGUUAUUAGGGAAGAACAUAUGUGUAAGUAACUGUGCACAUCGUGACGGUACCUAAUCAGAAAGCCACGGCUAACUACGUG